ACAAAAAUGGAAUUAAAUGCAAAAUAAAUAAAUAACAAUAAAUAAAAUAAAUUAACCAAAAGAUAAAAGAGGAAAGAAGUCACCAUUUUGCUCGAGAAUCCUUCAAUUACUUGUACCGUCUCCCCGGCAAUGUCGUCAAAAUUUGAUUACACCCACAGAAUAACGCGGUGAUUGUAGUAUAGCUUUGGGGUGUCGUAUCCACAGGGAGAUGGAAAAUUUCUCAAAGGAUCAAACAAACUAGGGUUUUCGUAAUUAUAUGUGGGAAUGAUUUGUCACUUGGAAUAAAAGUUAAUUAUCAAUAUGCGAAAUUAGCGAAGCGUCGGAGUUCCCCCAUUGAAUUGGAUCAAUCAACAUCAAUAAUUCAUGUAUUUUUACUCAAUUAGAGGUUUUCUUCACAACUCUCUAAUUGGAAAAUUUAACAAUGAAGUCCAAUUUAAUUCCAAUUUAAUUUCUAGAAUCUAGAUUUUCU
This 469-nucleotide long non-coding RNA is filed under the name Olea europaea (common olive). RNAcentral describes it as "long non-coding RNA (OEUR_LNC010109)". The record is from RNAcentral. Lineage: Eukaryota; Viridiplantae; Streptophyta; Magnoliopsida; Lamiales; Oleaceae.